UGGGGUGGCUGUUUUCCUACGUGGACCAAGCAGGGUCCCAGUUCAAGUUUCUGCUGCGUAUCUGAUAAUCUUGAGGUAUUUAUGAAGAACUCCUUUGAAAGUUCUCUACUGAGUUUCCUUAAGGAAUUGGAAUAUUAUUCAAUCCAGGUUUAAGUCCUUCAGCAUCUGACAUUCUCCUGGCAACUGUAAUUGAAUCAAUGAUGACUCAUGUGAGAUGAGCAAGUUGGUCCAGUCAGACCAAACAAAAGACAUUCUAUAAUCAGGGGAGAAGUCUUCUCUAUAUCUCUCUUAUAUAAGCAAAUUUAAUGACCUCCACCAUCUCUAAGAACAAGCAGCUAUUUCUGUAGAGAAAGAUCAUCUUUGGAUAACAAUACAUGAUUUUAGGCUCUAAAAGUUAAAACGUGUUUGUAACGUUGAUAUUAUGCAGAGGUCUUGACAGAACUUGGCAGUCUCUGAGGCUACAGAGAAGUGUGAAAAAGAGCAUAGAGAUUUCAGAAGGAGGCAGAUUCAGUCAGACGUACUGAAUCCCGUUUGAUCUCAACUUAGGCACACUCCAGAUGGACGGAGCAGGAAAACCCUCAGUGAAACCUGCCUCUGCAGGUUGAUGGCUUGGGAGGAAAGGCAUUACGGAAAAUGAUUAGCAGCAUGUACUAACUACUGCUGAUUCUUAAGUUUAUGGAAAAAAUAAAUAAACAAGACUGGUCAGAAAGACUGUGAAAGAAGAACUAUAAAGGGAGAUGAAUCCAAGCAGAUAUUUAGACAUAUCAAGCCUAAUAAUGGAAGUGUGGCACUGGAAUCACGAGACUGACCAAUGGAACAGAAAGCUAAGAAACAGACCCGAAAACAUGAGAAGUAUUGAACAGCACACUAGAGUUUUUGUCCAGAAGUUUGACUUUAGAAGAUAAGAAAUAACUGAGCGUAUUACAAGCAGGAGUUAGAGGAAGAGACUCAGUACAGAAGAGACAGGAACAAAAGUUCACCUCCGUUCAACGGGAAAGGAUACAGAUCAAGAGUUCAGGAAAAGUAGGAGAAAGAAGCUCUAUUCCAGAAGCAGUCUGGAGCACAAAGAAUCCCUAAUCACUGACAUUAAGAAAGAAGAAAAAUAUUCCUAGGACGAUCCUGGAGAGCAAAG
Gorilla gorilla gorilla (western lowland gorilla) is the source of this 1132-nucleotide long non-coding RNA. RefSeq lists it as uncharacterized. The record is from RefSeq and is a predicted model, not a curated record. Lineage: Eukaryota; Metazoa; Chordata; Mammalia; Primates; Hominidae. The transcript has 7 exons.